UUUUGGCGUUUUUUCACUCGGUCGUGAGAUGUUGGGUUAAUUCCCGCAACGAGCGCAACCCUUUUCUUUUGUUGCCAGCAGGUAAUGGUGGGAAUUCAAGGGAGACUGCCGGUGACAAACCGGAGGAAGGUGGGGAGGACGUCAAGUCUUCAUGGCCCUUACGCCCAGGGUUACACACGUGUUACAAUGGUGGGUACAAAGGGUUGCAACCUGGGGAUAGUAAGCGAUUCCCAAAAACCGAUUUGUAUUCCGGAUGGGAUUCUCCAAUUGGAUUCCGGAAAUUGGGAAUCGUUGGUAAUCCCAAAUCACAAUGUUGCGGUGAAUACGUUCCCGGGCCUUGUACACACCGCCCGUCACACCAUGGGAGUGGGUUGCACCAGAAGCAGGUAGCUUAACCCUCGGGAGGGCGCUUACCCCC
RNAcentral lists this ribosomal RNA (418 nucleotides) under bacterium 14S512. RNAcentral's name for it is "bacterial SSU rRNA". It matches the Rfam family "Bacterial small subunit ribosomal RNA", at positions 1043 to 1461 of the family's 1533-position model. The record is from RNAcentral.